This 1126-nucleotide long non-coding RNA is filed under the name Parus major (Great Tit). RNAcentral describes it as "lncRNA (ENSPMJG00000002851.1)". The record is from RNAcentral. Lineage: Eukaryota; Metazoa; Chordata; Aves; Passeriformes; Paridae.
GAAAUAGAAGCAAUCAAUUGAACUCCCAAUUUAUCCACCACUAUCUCACUUCACAUCAUCUGAAUGGUCCUAUGGCAAGGCAGACCUAAAAAAGGAGAGCACUUUCUCUGAAAAGCCAAUGUCCCAAGUGUUUGGGGUAGAAGAGGUGAACACAUGGGGAGAAUCCUGGACAGAGGAUGCUGAAGCUGCAGUUGGCCAAGGGGAAGAAAAUGAACACCAUGAAAGCAUUGGGCCAAAUAGCACCAGAAUAAGGACAGGAGUGGGAAUGACAAGCAGGAUGAGCCAGGGUCAAGAGGGUGACUGGAAACAAUUCAAAAUGAGAGUCAUUUCAAUUGAGACACUGCAAUAUUCAGCGUGCUUUGCUCAGAGCCUGUGCCUGCCAUGGGAGAUCAUCCAGCUGUGACUGUGAGAGACAACAGGAAAGUAAAAGGAAUAGAAAUAAGAGAAGGAAAGAGGAUAAAUGUAGGCAAGGAAAGCUCAGAAGAGGAAUUUCUAGUUCUUUAAGGGAUUUUUACUCCUUUAAGGGAUUUCCAGUGCUCGGUCUGUAGAAGAUUUUCAUCCACAUCCAAAGUGGGCAGAUUUGCACUCCUGCACUCCUCACAGGCACCUCAGCUCUGUUCUUCUCUUGUGACACUGAACAGGACAUUGCCACUUGCCCAAUGUCAUCUCGUUGAAUCUUGACCAUCUUUCCAAUUUAUCAAGAUCAUUUUGAAUCUUAAUUCUGGCUUUAAGAAUGUUGUUACCCUUGAUGGUUUAAUGUACACUGUAAAUUUUACAUGAGCACAGUCUUCCAUCAUUUAAGUUAAUGGAAACACUGACAGGCCUCUGUCUGAAAUACCUGCCUACCUUUAUAUAAAGUAUUAAAUCUUCUAGGAAAGUGCAUUUUCAGACACUUUGGUAGUAUUUUGAAUUAGUGCUAAUAGGUAUUUUUUUUCACCUUGAUUUUAUGUAUGCUGGAUAGCUUUCUCAGGGUAAAUGGAGAUGCUCCCUUCUGCAUUUAUCCUCUAAACAGUUAUUUGGUCAAACAACAUAUUGAGUCUUUUGUGGAUUUUUUUUUUAUUAUUUUUUUUUUUAACUUCAGAUGCUCAGGAAUAAAAUGUUUUAAUGAAAUCUCUGAGUAUUUUUG